Mycena rebaudengoi is the source of this 93-nucleotide non-coding RNA. The record is from the annotation of a GenBank genome assembly. NCBI's taxonomy places the organism in Eukaryota, Fungi, Basidiomycota, Agaricomycetes, Agaricales, Mycenaceae.
GACUCAGUGGUGUGGCGGUAACACUCCAGCUUGUAUUAUGUUGUUCAAGUGAUGGUUAAGCUGGCGAUCCCUGUUCGACUCUGGGCUACGUCA